ACGCUCGACACCUACGGAAGGCAGCAGUGAGGAAUAUUGGUCAAUGGACGCAAGUCUGAACCAGCCAUGCCGCGUGCAGGAUGACGGCUCUAUGAGUUGUAAACUGCUUUUGUACGAGGGUAAACGCAGAUACGUGUAUCUGUCUGAAAGUAUCGUACGAAUAAGGAUCGGCUAACUCCGUGCCACCAGCCGCGGUAAUCUGAGCGGGCUGGCAAGGC
Molecule: ribosomal RNA, 218 nt
Filed under: uncultured bacterium
Lineage: Bacteria
Description: partial 16S ribosomal RNA
Rfam family: Bacterial small subunit ribosomal RNA
Source: RNAcentral